This 73-nucleotide transfer RNA is filed under the name Ictidomys tridecemlineatus (thirteen-lined ground squirrel). Its description in RNAcentral is "Spermophilus tridecemlineatus (thirteen-lined ground squirrel) tRNA". It matches the Rfam family "tRNA". Rfam says of the family: Transfer RNA (tRNA) molecules are approximately 80 nucleotides in length. Their secondary structure includes four short double-helical elements and three loops (D, anti-codon, and T loops). The record is from Rfam by way of RNAcentral. Lineage: Eukaryota; Metazoa; Chordata; Mammalia; Rodentia; Sciuridae.
GGGGGUAUAACUCAGUUGGUAGAGUGCUUGCCUUGCAUGCAUAAGGCCCUGGGCUUAAUCCCCAGAACCCCCC